UAACCUAGCGGCGGGACGGGCUGAGUAAUGCUUAGGAAUCUGCCAUUUAGAUGGGGGACAACAUUCCGAAAGGAAUGCUAAUACCGCAUACGUCCUACGGGAGAAAGCAGGGGAUCUUCGGACCUUGCGCUAAAUGAUGAGCCUAAGUCGGAUUAGCUAGUUGGUGGGGUAAAGGCCUACCAAGGCGACGAUCUGUAGCGGGUCUGAGAGGAUGAUCCGCCACACUGGGACUGAGACACGGCCCAGACUCCUACGGGAGGCAGCAGUGGGGAAUAUUGGACAAUGGGCGAAAGCCUGAUCCAGCCAUGCCGCGUGUGUGAAGAAGGCCUUUUGGUUGUAAAGCACUUUAAGCGAGGAGGAGGCUACCUAGAUUAAUACUCUAGGAUAGUGGACGUUACUCGCAGAAUAAGCACCGGCUAACUCUGUGCCAGCAGCCGCGGUAAUACAGAGGGUGCGAGCGUUAAUCGGAUUUACUGGGCGUAAAGCGUGCGUAGGCGGCUGAUUAAGUCGGAUGUGAAAUCCCUGAGCUUAACUUAGGAAUUGCAUUCGAUACUGGUCAGCUAGAGUAUGGGAGAGGAUGGUAGAAUUCCAGGUGUAGCGGUGAAAUGCGUAGAGAUCUGGAG
Molecule: ribosomal RNA, 623 nt
Filed under: Acinetobacter sp. INBio3713I
Lineage: Bacteria; Pseudomonadati; Pseudomonadota; Gammaproteobacteria; Moraxellales; Moraxellaceae
Description: bacterial SSU rRNA
Rfam family: Bacterial small subunit ribosomal RNA
Source: RNAcentral